GAUGGCUUACCAGGACGCUUGGCGUGUGUGCCACCCGAAUGUCAAGAAGCCAUUUUCUUCGCUUGAGGAUGCCUGUGAGAGGUUUGUCCUUUAUGGUUGAUCUUGUCUGCUUAUGCCUGUGUACUGGCUGUUUUAUUAUAUGCGGCUAUUUCAUUUUUUUUGUUGGGAAUUUGAGAUUUUCUUUUAUUUCUCAGAAUUUGUGAAUUUCUGACAUUGUUGCCACUCUAAAAAUUUUACACACACUUUUGUACUUGUUUUUACUUCAUUUUUGGGGUAAAGAAAAUCCUGGGUCUGUUGAGUAUGCAAAAUGUAUUUGAAAUUGGAAUCAAGAUAAUUUUGAUACGCAGUAUUAGUUUUGUUGUUCUGCAGGACUGGAUUUGUUAUAUUGCUGUUGGUUACUUUAGGAUCCAGUAGGAGUACAACUUGAAAUGGCUUGCAUUUUACUUUGAAUGAUGUGAGUAGUUUACAUGGAUGCUAGAUUAUGCUGGGGUUUAGUGGUUUAUGCACUUUUGGUGUUAUACAAUUUAUGAUUUAGUUUAGUUAUUCAAUUAUCGUUUUCACUUUUCAUGCCAUUUGAAGUAACCUGUCAGGUAGUCUUAUUAUUUAGCUAACUUGUUUUUCCAUGUCCUGUGUGGGAAAUUAACAGUUGUCUUUAAGAAAGGUGCAUGAUAACUUUUUUGUCAUGAAAAUUCAAAUUGCAACAUGUGAUGAAAACUGAAGGAUGUCUUUUGUGGGUAUUUUAACUCUUCCUUCAUUCUAAAAAGCUUUCUCAUGUGGUUUCACCAGAGACUAAAAUAUAUUCAAAAUUAGUUCAUUCAAUAACUUGAACCCAUAUACCUUGCUUAGAUUUUGGAGGAUUUAAAAAUAUCAAUUUUUGGAUAGAGUCCCUUUGUAUGUGUUUAUAAACACGUAAUCCCUUUAUGUCUUGUGAUCUGAUUCAUUUCUGUGAUGUCUAUUAUUUGCUUUUGUUGAUUUGCUUGUGUGAACAUCGGAGGUGUGGUGGAAUAAAUUUGGGGCAUUGAUGCUUGAUGCGAUAUCAUCACGGCAUACUUGGCAGAGCAGUGGUUUUUUCCCCCUAAAAAUAAUAAUUCAGAAGUAGUAUAGUAUAGAGCUAGUACUUGCAUUGAUGUUCAUAGUUGUAUUUUGAGAAUUUAGUGCAUCAUUUCCACUUUUUUCUCUUGUAAAUUGGUGCAGA
RNAcentral lists this unclassified non-coding RNA (1195 nucleotides) under Hevea brasiliensis (rubber tree). The record is from RNAcentral. Lineage: Eukaryota; Viridiplantae; Streptophyta; Magnoliopsida; Malpighiales; Euphorbiaceae.